RNAcentral lists this ribosomal RNA (991 nucleotides) under Escherichia albertii. RNAcentral's name for it is "partial 23S ribosomal RNA". It matches the Rfam family "Bacterial large subunit ribosomal RNA", at positions 315 to 1309 of the family's 2925-position model. The record is from RNAcentral. Lineage: Bacteria; Pseudomonadati; Pseudomonadota; Gammaproteobacteria; Enterobacterales; Enterobacteriaceae.
AAUCAGUGUGUGUGUUAGUGGAAGCGUCUGGAAAGGCGCGCGAUACAGGGUGACAGCCCCGUACACAAAAAUGCACAUGCUGUGAGCUCGAUGAGUAGGGCGGGACACGUGGUAUCCUGUCUGAAUAUGGGGGGACCAUCCUCCAAGGCUAAAUACUCCUGACUGACCGAUAGUGAACCAGUACCGUGAGGGAAAGGCGAAAAGAACCCCGGCGAGGGGAGUGAAAAAGAACCUGAAACCGUGUACGUACAAGCAGUGGGAGCCUCUUUAUGGGGUGACUGCGUACCUUUUGUAUAAUGGGUCAGCGACUUAUAUUCUGUAGCAAGGUUAACCGAAUAGGGGAGCCGGAGGGAAACCGAGUCUUAACUGGGCGUUAAGUUGCAGGGUAUAGACCCGAAACCCGGUGAUCUAGCCAUGGGCAGGUUGAAGGUUGGGUAACACUAACUGGAGGACCGAACCGACUAAUGUUGAAAAAUUAGCGGAUGACUUGUGGCUGGGGGUGAAAGGCCAAUCAAACCGGGAGAUAGCUGGUUCUCCCCGAAAGCUAUUUAGGUAGCGCCUCGUGAAUUCAUCUCCGGGGGUAGAGCACUGUUUCGGCAAGGGGGUCAUCCCGACUUACCAACCCGAUGCAAACUGCGAAUACCGGAGAAUGUUAUCACGGGAGACACACGGCGGGUGCUAACGUCCGUCGUGAAGAGGGAAACAACCCAGACCGCCAGCUAAGGUCCCAAAGUCAUGGUUAAGUGGGAAACGAUGUGGGAAGGCCCAGACAGCCAGGAUGUUGGCUUAGAAGCAGCCAUCAUUUAAAGAAAGCGUAAUAGCUCACUGGUCGAGUCGGCCUGCGCGGAAGAUGUAACGGGGCUAAACCAUGCACCGAAGCUGCGGCAGCGACGCUGAUGCGUUGUUGGGUAGGGGAGCGUUCUGUAAGCCUGUGAAGGUGUGCUGUGAGGCAUGCUGGAGGUAUCAGAAGUGCGAAUGCUGACAUAAGUAA